UUAGGAGCUCACUAACUUCGGAGUCAUGGGAACUCCGAAGUUAAGUGAGUUUGGGCUAGAGCAAUCCCAUGAUAGAUGACCCACUGGGAAGUUGCUUGUGAGUUCCCAAA
RNAcentral lists this ribosomal RNA (110 nucleotides) under Prunus dulcis (almond). The record is from RNAcentral. Lineage: Eukaryota; Viridiplantae; Streptophyta; Magnoliopsida; Rosales; Rosaceae.